Molecule: ribosomal RNA, 499 nt
Filed under: uncultured Glomus
Lineage: Eukaryota; Fungi; Glomeromycota; Glomeromycetes; Glomerales; Glomeraceae
Description: SSU rRNA
Rfam family: Eukaryotic small subunit ribosomal RNA
Source: RNAcentral
CCAAUAGCGUAUAUUAAAGUUGCUGCAGUUAAAAAGCUCGUAGUUGAAUUUCGGGACUAAUAUGUCGGUCGUGCCUCGGUACGUACUGGUAUUUUUGCUUUCUCCCUUCUGACGAACCUUGAUGUCAUUCAUUUGGUGUCUUGGGGCAUCAGGACUGUUACUUUGAAAAAAUUAGAGUGUUUAAAGCAGGCUCACGCUUGAAUACAUUAGCAUGGAAUAAUGAAAUAGGACGUUUGAUUCUAUUUUGUUGGUUUCUAGGAUUGACGUAAUGAUUAAUAGGGAUAGUUGGGGGCAUUAGUAUUCAAUUGUCAGAAGUGAAAUUCUUGGAUUUAUUGAAGACUAACUACUGCGAAAGCAUUUGCCAAGGAUGUUUUCAUUAAUCAAGAACGAAAGUUAGGGGAUCGAAGACGAUCAGAUACCGUCGUAGUCUUAACCAUAAACUAUGCCGACUAGGGAUCGGAUGAUGUUAAUUUUUUAAUGACUCAUUCGGCGCCUUACG